RNAcentral lists this ribosomal RNA (468 nucleotides) under uncultured bacterium. RNAcentral's name for it is "partial 16S ribosomal RNA". It matches the Rfam family "Bacterial small subunit ribosomal RNA", at positions 28 to 507 of the family's 1533-position model. The record is from RNAcentral.
GACGAACGCUGGCGGCGUGCUUAACACAUGCAAGUCGAACGGAAAGGCCCUGCUUUUGUGGGGUGCUCGAGUGGCGAACGGGUGAGUAACACGUGAGUAACCUGCCCUUGACUUUGGGAUAACUUCAGGAAACUGGGGCUAAUACCGGAUAGGAGCUCCUGCUGCAUGGUGGGGGUUGGAAAGUUUCGGCGGUUGGGGAUGGACUCGCGGCCUAUAAGCUUGUUGGUGGGGUAGUGGCUUACCAAGGCUUUGACGGGUAGCCGGCCUGAGAGGGUGACCGGCCACAUUGGGACUGAGAUACGGCCCAGACUCCUACGGGAGGCAGCAGUGGGGAAUAUUGCACAAUGGGCGGAAGCCUGAUGCAGCAACGCCGCGUGCGGGAUGACGGCCUUCGGGUUGUAAACCGCUUUCGCCUGUGACGAAGCGUGAGUGACGGUAAUGGGUAAAGAAGCACCGGCUAACUACGUG